CGGUGGAGCAUGUGGUUUAAUUCGAAGCAACGCGAAGAACCUUUACCAGGUCUUGACAUCCCGAUGCUAUUUCUAGAGAUAGAAGUUACUUCGGUACAUCGGUGACAGGUGGUGCAUGGUUGUCGUCAGCUCGUGUCGUGAGAUGUUGGGUUAAGUCCCGCAACGAGCGCAACCCCUAUUGUUAGUUGCCAUCAUUCAGUUGGGCACUCUAGCGAGACUGCCGGUAAUAAACCGGAGGAAGGUGGGGAUGACGUCAAGUCAGCAUGGCCUUUAUGUCCAGGGCUACACACGUGCUACAAUGGUUGGUACAAAGGGUUGCCAAGCCGUGAGGCGGAGCCAAUCUCAAAAAGCCAACCUCAGUUCGGAUUGCAGUCUGCAACUCGACUGCAUGAAGUUGGAAUCGCUAGUAAUCGCUGAUCAGCAGGCAGCGGUGAAUACGUUCCCGGGCCUU
RNAcentral lists this ribosomal RNA (451 nucleotides) under uncultured Streptococcus sp. Its description in RNAcentral is "bacterial SSU rRNA". It matches the Rfam family "Bacterial small subunit ribosomal RNA", at positions 930 to 1382 of the family's 1533-position model. The record is from RNAcentral. Lineage: Bacteria; Bacillati; Bacillota; Bacilli; Lactobacillales; Streptococcaceae.